GUAAGCACAACCAGAUUGCUUAGUGUGCUCUGGGAUUUAUAUCAAAGGUUUCAUCAGUUUCGAUUAGAUUUAUUCUGAGAAAAACAAGACUUUACAAUUUUAAUUUAUCUGAGUAAAAGUGAAUAUUCGUAAUACGUAUAGAAAAAUAAUGGCUGAAGGAAUUUAUCUCACAGUUCUUCGUUUGCGACAAAUUUCAAUAUUUUUGCUAUUAUUUUUUUUCUAUAAAUGUUAUGUGGUUUUUACCAAAGAAUUAAAGAGGGUCGUAAUUUCAUCAAAAGCAUUGAUCUAAAUACUAAGAAUUUACUCAUUCGACAUGGAAGAGGCGGCAAAAAACCGGAGUCAGCAUGAAAAUGUUAUAAUCGAAAUGUCAUUAUGCUACUUUAAAAAAUAUAUUGUAAUAAAAUGUAGCAAAAUAUA
Long non-coding RNA from Drosophila willistoni, 417 nucleotides. RefSeq lists it as uncharacterized. The transcript has 2 exons. NCBI's taxonomy places the organism in Eukaryota, Metazoa, Arthropoda, Insecta, Diptera, Drosophilidae. The record is from RefSeq and is a predicted model, not a curated record.